RNAcentral lists this ribosomal RNA (500 nucleotides) under uncultured bacterium. RNAcentral's name for it is "partial 16S ribosomal RNA". It matches the Rfam family "Bacterial small subunit ribosomal RNA", at positions 30 to 523 of the family's 1533-position model. The record is from RNAcentral.
AUUGAACGCUGGCGGAAUGCUUUACACAUGCAAGUCGAACGGCAGCACGGACUUCGGUCUGGUGGCGAGUGGCGAACGGGUGAGUAACAUAUCGGAACGUAUCCAAUAAUGGGGGAUAACUAAUCGAAAGGUUGGCUAAUACCGCAUACGCCCUACGGGGGAAAGCAGGGGAUCUUCGGACCUUGCGUUAAUGGAGCGGCUGAUAUCUGAUUAGAUAGUUGGUGAGGUAAAGGCUCACUAAGGCGACGAUCAGUAGCUGGUCUGAGAGGACGAACCGCCAAACUGGAACUGAGACACGGUCCAGACUCCUACGGGAGGCAGCAGUGGGGAAUUUUGGACAAUGGGCGCAAGCCUGAUCCAGCCAUUCCGCGUGAGUGAAGAAGGCCUUCGGGUUGUAAAGCUCUUUCGCAAGGGAAGAAAACUUACUUUCUAAUAAAGAGUGAGGUUGACGGUACCUUGAUAAGAAGCACCGGCUAACUACGUGCCAGCCGCCGCGGUAA